RNAcentral lists this ribosomal RNA (299 nucleotides) under uncultured bacterium. RNAcentral describes it as "partial 16S ribosomal RNA". It matches the Rfam family "Bacterial small subunit ribosomal RNA", at positions 27 to 294 of the family's 1533-position model. The record is from RNAcentral.
GAACGAACGCUGGCGGCGUGGCUAAGACAUGCAAGUCGUACGAUAGGUUGUAGCAAGUAUGGCCUAUAGUGGCGGACGGGUGAGUAAUGAAUAGGUAACGUGCCCGGGCACAGGAAGUAGCGUCGGGUCCCGCAAGGGAUCCUUUGCGAAGUGACGGUAAUACCUGGUGACGUCUUCGGGUGCAUCAUCUGGAGACCAUAGGGUGGGGACCUUCGGGCCUACCGGCCUGGGUGCGGCCUAUCCUAUCAGCUAGUUGGUGAGGUAACGGCUCACCAAGGCAUCGACGGGUAACCGGACUG